RNAcentral lists this long non-coding RNA (545 nucleotides) under Oryctolagus cuniculus (rabbit). RNAcentral's name for it is "lncRNA (ENSOCUG00000036523.1)". The record is from RNAcentral. Lineage: Eukaryota; Metazoa; Chordata; Mammalia; Lagomorpha; Leporidae.
AAGUUUCUCGCAACUUUGGAUUCAUACGCACGGAUUUUUUUGGUGCUAUACUUUAAAAAAUUGAUCUACAUUUUGAUACCCAAAUGACAAAUGAAACUGUCAGUGUGUACUGGGCUUAAUCUCACUGUGUAAAUCUUCAGCUCAAAUAAAUGAUGUAGGUGAUUUAAUCAUUCUUUGUCGUUUACUUCUUUGCUGUUAUUUUAAAAAACCUGUUUCUGCUGUGCUCUGUUUCAGUACGGGACGACGGGUUCUGUGCCUGCCUGAUCCUCUCAGUGCGAGCAAAGCUUCCUCAUUUCGUCACUUCCCAUCCCUUCUUCCAGGUGGCUGGGAACACCUUGGCGAGUUCCGGAAUCAUCCAACUGGUUGCGUGAUCCUUUGAGGGUAAAUACACUGCUUCAAUUCGUGACAGCCAUGUGACAGUCACUGCAGCAGCCGUCCUGACCUCAGACCAUCACAACACCAGGGAACAGAGGGGGAAGUGGAAGCCUAGAAGCCCCACAGUUUUGAGGUGUCGACGGCUCCCAGUUGUCCAGAUCACCCUACUC